This 1370-nucleotide ribosomal RNA is filed under the name uncultured bacterium. Its description in RNAcentral is "bacterial SSU rRNA". It matches the Rfam family "Bacterial small subunit ribosomal RNA", at positions 28 to 1381 of the family's 1533-position model. The record is from RNAcentral.
GAUGAACGCUGGCGGCGUGCCUAACACAUGCAAGUCGAACGAAGCGGUUCAGCGGAAGUUUUCGGAUGGAAGCUGAACUGACUGAGUGGCGGACGGGUGAGUAACGCGUGGGUAACCUGCCUUGUACUGGGGGACAACAGUUAGAAAUGACUGCUAAUACCGCAUAAGCGCACAGCUUCGCAUGAAGCGGUGUGAAAAACUCCGGUGGUACAAGAUGGACCCGCGUCUGAUUAGCUAGUUGGUAAGGUAACGGCUUACCAAGGCGACGAUCAGUAGCCGACCUGAGAGGUUAACCCCCCACACUGGUACUGAGACACGGACCAGACUCCUACGGGAGGCAGCAGUGAGGAAUAUUGGUCAAUGGACGCAAGUCUGAACCAGCCAUGCCGCGUGCAGGAUGACGGCUCUAUGAGUUGUAAACUGCUUUUGUACGAGGGUAAACGCAGAUACGUGUAUCUGUCUGAAAGUAUCGUACGAAUAAGGAUCGGCUAACUCCGUGCCAGCAGCCGCGGUAAUACGGAGGAUUCAAGCGUUAUCCGGAUUUAUUGGGUUUAAAGGGUGCGUAGGCGGUUUGAUAAGUUAGAGGUGAAAUUUCGGGGCUCAACCCUGAACGUGCCUCUAAUACUGUUGAGCUAGAGAGUAGUUGCGGUAGGCGGAAUGUAUGGUGUAGCGGUGAAAUGCUUAGAGAUCAUACAGAACACCGAUUGCGAAGGCAGCUUACCAAACUAUAUCUGACGUUGAGGCACGAAAGCGUGGGGAGCAAACAGGAUUAGAUACCCUGGUAGUCCACGCAGUAAACGAUGAUAACUCGUUGUCGGCGAUACACAGUCGGUGACUAAGCGAAAGCGAUAAGUUAUCCACCUGGGGAGUACGUUCGCAAGAAUGAAACUCAAAGGAAUUGACGGGGGCCCGCACAAGCGGAGGAACAUGUGGUUUAAUUCGAUGAUACGCGAGGAACCUUACCCGGGCUUGAAAGUUAGCGACGAUUCUUGAAAGAGGAUUUCCCUUCGGGGCGCGAAACUAGGUGCUGCAUGGUUGUCGUCAGCUCGUGCCGUGAGGUGUCGGGUUAAGUCCCAUAACGAGCGCAACCCCUACCGUUAGUUGCCAUCAGGUGAAGCUGGGCACUCUGGCGGGACUGCCGGUGUAAGCCGAGAGGAAGGUGGGGAUGACGUCAAAUCAGCACGGCCCUUACGUCCGGGGCUACACACGUGUUACAAUGGUAGGUACAGAGGGCAGCUACCCAGCGAUGGGAUGCGAAUCUCGAAAGCCUAUCUCAGUUCGGAUUGGAGGCUGAAACCCGCCUCCUUGAAGUUGGAUUCGCUAGUAAUCGCGCAUUCAGCCAUGGCGCGGUGAAAUACGUUCCCGGGCCU